This 494-nucleotide ribosomal RNA is filed under the name uncultured bacterium. RNAcentral's name for it is "partial 16S ribosomal RNA". It matches the Rfam family "Bacterial small subunit ribosomal RNA", at positions 28 to 507 of the family's 1533-position model. The record is from RNAcentral.
GACGAACGCUGGCGGCGUGCUUAACACAUGCAAGUCGAACGGAAAGGCCUGCUUUCCCUUGUGGAUUGCGGGUACUCGAGUGGCGAACGGGUGAGUAACACGUGAGUGAUCUGCCCCCAACUUGGGUAUAAGCCUGGGAAACUGGGUCUAAUUCCCGAUAGGACUGCAGGGUGGUGCCUGUGGUGGAAAACGAUUUUCUAGUGGUUGGGGAUGAGCUCGCGGCCUAUCAGCUUGUUGGUGGGGUAAUGGCCUACCAAGGCGGCGACGGGUAGCCGGCCUGAGAGGGUGGACGGCCACAUUGGGACUGAGAUACGGCCCAUACUCCUACGGGAGGCAGCAGUGGGGAAUAUUGCACAAUGGGCGGAAGCCUGAUGCAGCGACGCCGCGUGGGGGAUGACGGCCUUCGGGUUGUAAACUCCUUUCGACCGCGAGGAAGCCACCUGGUUGGAAGGGUGGUGACGGUAGUGGUAGAAGAAGCACCGGCUAACUACGUG